UUGAACGCUGGCGGCAUGCUUUACACAUGCCAGUCGAACGGCAGCGCGGGCUUCGGCCUGGCGGCGAGUGGCGAACGGGUGAGUAAUGCAUCGGAACGUGCCCAGUAGUGGGGGAUAGCCCGGCGAAAGCCGGAUUAAUACCGCAUACGACCUGAGGGUGAAAGCGGGGGACCGAAAGGCCUCGCGCUAUUGGAGCGGCCGAUGUCGGAUUAGCUAGCUGGUGGGGUAAAGGCUUACCAAGGCGACGAUCCGUAGCUGGUCUGAGAGGACGACCAGCCACACUGGGACUGAGACACGGCCCAGACUCCUACGGGAGGCAGCAGUGGGGAAUUUUGGACAAUGGGGGCAACCCUGAUCCAGCCAUGCCGCGUGCGGGAAGAAGGCCUUCGGGUUGUAAACCGCUUUUGUUCGGGAAGAAAUCCUCUGGGCUAAUACCCCGGGGGGAUGACGGUACCGGAAGAAUAAGCACCGGCUAACUACGUG
Molecule: ribosomal RNA, 483 nt
Filed under: uncultured bacterium
Lineage: Bacteria
Description: partial 16S ribosomal RNA
Rfam family: Bacterial small subunit ribosomal RNA
Source: RNAcentral